This 63-nucleotide microRNA precursor is filed under the name Sorghum bicolor (sorghum). RNAcentral describes it as "miR399k stem-loop (sbi-MIR399k)". Its record names the gene sbi-MIR399k. Lineage: Eukaryota; Viridiplantae; Streptophyta; Magnoliopsida; Poales; Poaceae. The record is from miRBase by way of RNAcentral.
AGGGCAACCCUCCAUUGGCAGGUGCGACCUACACCCUACCCUGCCAAAGGGGAUUUGCCCGGC